UCCCAGGGUUCAGUAUGCCCUGCAAUCAGCACACCCCCAUCUGACUGCUGUGGGAGCAGCUGCAUUAUCUGCAUUUGGCCAACUGUUGCUCUCCAGUACAGAGAUAAUAGAGAACUCGGUAAGAUGGAAAGAUUGUUUAUCUGCUGAGCAGGGCUUAUAAAGUCAUCUGGCAUAUGCUUCGAAGCGGUCUAAUCCAAGAGGGCCAUAAUUAUCAUUCUGAACUUGAGUCCCUCGAAUGGUGUUUCUCUCUUUUAACUUACAACACUUUAAGGGCUGGUCUGUGGACAAACUUCAGAAAUCUAAGAAGUUUGACCCAAAAAACCCACCCCAAAACAAACAAACACAAACAAAAAACAUCCUAAGGAACAAGAUCUUUAUUUCUGAUGCUUUCUAAACACAGAUGCAUGCAGAUACUUUCUGUUGCUUUAUUGUGCUCUUCUCUGUAACACU
Molecule: long non-coding RNA, 450 nt
Organism: Prionailurus viverrinus (fishing cat)
Lineage: Eukaryota; Metazoa; Chordata; Mammalia; Carnivora; Felidae
Exons: 3
Source: RefSeq, a predicted model, not a curated record